AAUUGACAAUUAUUUGCGAUACAUCUAAAUAGUUUUUAUGAAACAUUUGUUAUGCUGGUUUUGCUAAGGUGAAAGGUAAUGCCAUAAUCCUCAUACAAUUUUAGAUAGUCAUUAAGGGAGAUACAAAGAAGUCAUUUUCUGUCUAUCGAAUUUGUCAUGAGAUCGUGCCAUUCUUAUCUUGGCAAGGAGUACAUUUGGACAUAACAUACCAAUUUAUUGCAAUCACGUCGCCCAUAUGAAUCAAGGUUGAAUUGACUUCACUCUUCUCACGGUAGGCAGGAUCGAAGCAAGGUUUUUCUUUGAUCAUGGAGACGAAAAUGUAUAGACUUUGGAACCAUGCAGUGCGGAACAGGAAGUGAUUGUCGGAUGUGGAACUAUUUCAAUGUUCGGAUGCAAAUGAGAUUCAUAAAACGGAAUUGGAUGGAAAAACUUCAUAUAGGGCGGUCAGAUAUAUUGAAUUAAUAUGGAAAUUUUUUGAUUACUACUUAUAUAUAUAUGUAGACCAGUGUUGUGAUAAGAGAAAAUCCCUUGCGCAGAGGUAUUUUGAAAUA
Molecule: long non-coding RNA, 551 nt
Organism: Hermetia illucens (black soldier fly)
Lineage: Eukaryota; Metazoa; Arthropoda; Insecta; Diptera; Stratiomyidae
Exons: 2
Source: RefSeq, a predicted model, not a curated record